GCUAGGGGGCCAUCCCGGCUUACCAACCCGAUGCAAACUGCGAAUACCGGAGAAUGUUAUCACGGGAGACACACGGCGGGUGCUAACGUCCGUCGUGAAGAGGGAAACAACCCAGACCGCCAGCUAAGGUCCCAAAGUCAUGGUUAAGUGGGAAACGAUGUGGGAAGGCCCAGACAGCCAGGAUGUUGGCUUAGAAGCAGCCAUCAUUUAAAGAAAGCGUAAUAGCUCACUGGUCGAGUCGGCCUGCGCGGAAGAUGUAACGGGGCUAAACCAU
RNAcentral lists this ribosomal RNA (274 nucleotides) under Salmonella enterica subsp. enterica serovar Rubislaw. Its description in RNAcentral is "partial 23S ribosomal RNA". It matches the Rfam family "Bacterial large subunit ribosomal RNA", at positions 918 to 1190 of the family's 2925-position model. Lineage: Bacteria; Pseudomonadati; Pseudomonadota; Gammaproteobacteria; Enterobacterales; Enterobacteriaceae. The record is from RNAcentral. RNAcentral also lists the same sequence under 5 other names.